RNAcentral lists this unclassified non-coding RNA (180 nucleotides) under uncultured fungus. Its description in RNAcentral is "sequence contains ITS1". The record is from RNAcentral. Lineage: Eukaryota; Fungi.
GUAUUUUGAAUUGUUUAUUCAUAAUAUUUUUCAGACAAAGAGUUAAAAGAUAAAGGUUGAUGUUUGGUCGAUCUCCAAGAAGAAGAUCGACUGACAUUGCACACAAGGUGGAUAUGGAUUUAAAAAGUGCCAUAAAACACUCGUUUGUGAAUGAUCCUUCCGCAGGUUCACCUACGGAAA